This 711-nucleotide ribosomal RNA is filed under the name uncultured Bacteroidota bacterium. RNAcentral describes it as "bacterial SSU rRNA". It matches the Rfam family "Bacterial small subunit ribosomal RNA", at positions 60 to 770 of the family's 1533-position model. The record is from RNAcentral. Lineage: Bacteria; Pseudomonadati; Bacteroidota.
AGUCGAGGGGUAUAAGGAGCUUGCUCCUUAGAGACCGGCGCACGGGUGCGUAACGCGUAUGCAAUCUACCUUUUACAGGGGAAUAGCCCAGAGAAAUUUGGAUUAAUGCCCCAUAGUAUAUUUGAAUGGCAUCAUUUGAUUAUUAAAGUCACAACGGUAAAAGAUGAGCAUGCGUCCCAUUAGUUAGUUGGUAAGGUAACGGCUUACCAAGACGAUGAUGGGUAGGGGUCCUGAGAGGGAGAUCCCCCACACUGGUACUGAGACACGGACCAGACUCCUACGGGAGGCAGCAGUGAGGAAUAUUGGUCAAUGGGCGCAAGCCUGAACCAGCCAUGCCGCGUGCAGGAUGACGGUCCUAUGGAUUGUAAACUGCUUUUAUACAGGAAGAAACACUCCCUCGUGAGGGAGCUUGACGGUACUGUAGGAAUAAGGAUCGGCUAACUCCGUGCCAGCAGCCGCGGUAAUACGGAGGAUCCAAGCGUUAUCCGGAAUCAUUGGGUUUAAAGGGUCCGUAGGCGGCCCAGUAAGUCAGUGGUGAAAUCUCCCGGCUCAACCGGGAAAUUGCCAUUGAUACUGCUGGGCUUGAAUUAUCAGGAAGUAACUAGAAUAUGUAGUGUAGCGGUGAAAUGCUUAGAGAUUACAUGGAAUACCAAUUGCGAAGGCAGGUUACUACUGGUGGAUUGACGCUGAUGGACGAAAGCGUGGGUAGCG